This is a long non-coding RNA of Mustela lutreola (European mink), 9920 nucleotides long. RefSeq lists it as uncharacterized. The record is from RefSeq and is a predicted model, not a curated record. NCBI's taxonomy places the organism in Eukaryota, Metazoa, Chordata, Mammalia, Carnivora, Mustelidae. The transcript has 2 exons.
UAGAAAUUUCUCUUUUGUUUCUAAUCCUUGCUAUAUGCAGUAUUACUCAACACCAGAAAAUGAUCUAAUGCAUUGCAUUUUAUAUAUAUUAAUUUGUUAUUUCUAUGCUAAACAAUAAUCUCUUGGGCUGUUUCUUCUAAACUUAUUGGGGCAGUAAUUAUUAAAAAUCAGUUAAAUUGGGAUUGUAGUUCUUCUGACUUACAAUGUGAAUUAUUCUUUUUUUAUUUUUGCUUUAUUUAAAAUAAAGCAGGGUUCAAUUUAUGCCAUAAAUAGUAUAAUUUUAUACUUCCAGAUUUUGAGAUCUUUUUCCUUUGUAGUUUUAUUUGUAUUUUCUCCUACCUUUAUUCCAUCUUUCUCAAAUUUUCAAAGCCCCCAAUUUCAAGGAAAUGGUUCUCUACAAUACUGACUCUUUUGUUCUAUAAUCUGCACUACCCUUAAGUUAAAUGGGAAUUUUCUUAAGACUCACCCCUCCCCCUCCAUGCACACAAGUAAAAAUGAUUGAUGGAGAGUAUUUUAUAUUAAUCAUUUUGAAUGUUAUUAUGAAUGUACUUUGAAAUGAAUUAUCUAGUUCAAGGUUUUCAGUUUAAAAUAGGUAGACAGAAUACAAUCAAACUUUCAGAAUAUAAUCAAACUCUUAAGAUUAAUUUUAUAAUUGGUCAUAAAAAUUUAAAUAUUCUCUUAGGAUUUUUAAAGGCUUGAGAAGCGCUGUUUUACAAAAAAAUAAAUUAAUUAAUUCUUUGAUUUAAUCCAAACUUUUUAUUAUACAAUUAUUAUGUUAUUCCUCCAAAAUGCCUACCAUAUAUUCCUUGAAUUAUAUUAAAUGAUGUGCAUUUCUAGGCAGCUGAAAUAGAUUUACCUUUUCUCAUGAUAAAGCUUAAUAUAUAGUAAAAUUAAAUUUCUAAAAUUUAACAGAAGUACCAUCCAUAUUGUCUGCAUGUUGUAAAUUGAACCCUGUUUAGUCAUAUUAACGUUGGCUAUUAGCACCUCUGGUCAUUUUUUAAAUAAGGUGGUUUAUUCUUGGGCAAAGGGCUUUUCAUAAUAUGGGGAGUUGAUUAUCUCUUUGUGGUUUUAUAGUGAAUCAGUUGGUAAUAGUUAAAUCACUUUAAUUAUAUAAGCACUAUAGCAUAAAUACUUUUUCAACCAAAUUUUUUUUAAUAGUCUGUCUUAACUAGUACUUAUUGUCAUAUAAUGUAAAAAGUUAGAAAGGACUUUCCUACAUACACUUAAUCAAAGAACUUUUUGAAUUUAAUUAUCUCGGGAUUUUACCUUGCAUGAAAGGAACCCAGUAUAUAAUUAUAUUUUUUAAAAAUAAUUUCUUUGUCCUAUUUUUGAUCCUGGGGUUAUAUUUGCUUUGUUUAAUGUGGUGACUUGCUCCUUUCUUUUUUUCUGUGUUUUGAAUAGAAUAUGUAACAUGAAAUAUCUGAGCUUGAAUAUUUGAAAGUCUUCAGUUAACAAAUUUCUUAGACGAGGAACAUUAUUAGAAGUUCUUUGGUAAUGUUCUUGCUUACUUUUUAUAUUAUUGGCAAGUUUUCCUUUUUGUCAUUUAUAGUUUUGGGGAAACAUGUUUACUAUUAAAUUUUUCAAACUUAGUUUAGUUACAUUGUUAUAUGUGAUUAUUUUACAUCUUCAGAAACUACUACUCUGUCUCCUAUUUUAUAUAUAAUUUUGUUUGGUUUUGGUGGUAGUCUUUCAGUGUGGUUUUUAAUCCCAACAUAGAUACAAGGAACACUCACUUCUCAAAUUUUUCUUCAUUCAAAUGGAGACAGCUCCAUUUUAGACUAUAAAGUUUUUACAGUUAAAAAAGUGAGUUUCUCUCUGCACUAGUGUCUGGUUUUAUAAUAAGAGUUAUAAAAUAUACUAUUGAAAAACACAUAAAGUAUCAGUGAAAUAUCAGGGAAAAAAUGCAUAGACUCUCCUGAAGACCUCUCUGUCAAGAUGUGUUUUCUGUGUAAAGUUUAUGGUAUCAGAAGUGCUAGGUUUCUUUGAGGGGUGCCUGGGUGGCUCAACUAGUUAAAUGCCCAACUCUUGGCUUCAGCUCAGGUCAUGAUCUCAGGAUCAUGAGAUGGAGCCCCACAUCGGGGCCCCAGCUCAGUGGGGAGUUGGCUUGGGAUUUUCUCUUCCUCUCCUUCUGCCCUCCGCCCAUGUGCUCUGUCUCUAAAAUAAAUAGUGUGUUGUUUUUGUUGUUGUUGAUGCUGCUGCUGCUGUUGUUGUUGUUGUUAAGUGCUAGGAUUCCUUGAGCAUUCUCAGCUCAGUGUUCCCUAUCAUCCAGUCCUGUACGUGCUCUGAAGUAUCGUGAGCCUCAUAAAAUUAUCACCUCUCUCUUCCUCAGUAUACAGACAUUUAUAUCUUCAACUGUAAUUGUAGUGAUGCACUGGCCUAAUAAGGGAGGACAUAAGAAUUAGGCCUAGACCCUCAAGAUUUACACUAGUAAGAAAGCCACCUUGAUUAGAAGGCUAACUGAAGUGUCUUGGCUCCAAAACUUUGUUUCUACAGCUUUACCUUUUCUUUGAAAGUAAUUGCUGUCGCUGUUGGAGGGGGGAGGUGCAAAAAUGUCAUUCCUUAACAUUCUAACCCAAGUUUGGAAAAUCAGUCUGUUUUUUACUGCCCGGCAAUAUAGCUGAGGUAGCGGAGAUGGUGUGUGUGUGUGUGUGUGUGUGUGUGUGUGUGUGUGUAGCAAUUACAGUUUUUCUGACAUCAUGCCAACCCUUUGUAAGUAAUAUUUCUUAUUUAAUCCAUUCAAUGUAACUACAGUGAGCUACAUACUAUUAACUUCCCUGUUUUACAGAUGAGGAAACAGAGAGACAGAGUGUAAAUAAUAUGCCUGUUGGUUAUACAGCUAAUGAAUGACAGAGCCAGGAUUUCCACCCAAGUAGUCUGACUUCACUGUUUUGUCCUUUCAACACUGUACUACUAUAUUAGUUCUUAGACAAUUUACUAAAGUCUUUAAGGAUUCAAAAACAAAUCCAUUGUGUGAUUUGUAACUAGAUAUUCUGGUUAGGACUCUGUUCUAUCUUUAUAGUAACCUAGAAAGAAAGAUGGUUCCUGUUAAGUUCUACCCUAGCACCAGAUCAUGGUUGUUGUGUUGGUGACUGUCACCCAAACAUAAUAUACAGUGCCUAAAAGUCUACCUUUCUCCAAGACCAGACUCCAGGAAAGUAACUACAGCAAACAGUAGAGCCCCUAACCUCUCUACCAAAAAGCCUACCCAAAGCCUAGCUUCCUUGUUUCCUGGCUGACAGCUUACUCAGAUCAAUGAUGCUGACAGUGACUUCCUUGUUCAGGCGGCAGCAGCCUAAAAAGGCAUAACUCUGUCCUGUGAGUGUAACAGCAAAAAUAUAGAAGAAUAUAAUGCAAUUGCAGCAUUCCUAAAGAAAGGUGCAUGUGUGUAAUACACAUGUAGUGAUUUGUUUUGCCUGUUCAUACUUGCUUAAUUCUUGUUAAUAAAAUCGAAUGACCAGCAUUUCCAAAAUCAGUCUUUCCUGUAGUGUUAACCAUUUCUGUAAGUCAUUUAGAAAAUAAGAGUAGUUACCAAUUUUUAAUUUGCUUAUUAUUUAUAUUUUAUAAAACUUUGGAAAUACAAAAUUCUGUAAAGCUUUUUGUUAAGUUUGUAAAAAAAAUAGUUCUAAAAUGCAUGUCUUUGUUAAAGUGUUAAUCAAAUUGUUCAUGAUACCUUAUGAAUAAAAUAUGGUCCAGAUGCUAGCAUUAUUUGGUAGAUCUUGAAACUACAGAAUCUACUUUUAAAGAUUGUUAAUUCUAUUUCAUUGAUUCUAUUUCAUUGUGCAAGUAGAUUUCUAGCUGGAUUCUAUGGUCUAUAAACCCAUGGUCCCACAUUAUUACUAAUUUUCAUAUAGAAGAAAUGAUUACAUGAUACUGUGAGGGGGAAAUAAUAGCUAGAGAUUAAAAUAUAAACAUUCAGAAAUUCAGUGACUUCAUGAGCACUGGGGCAAAACAAAUAUAAAUCUUGGCUCUGUUUAAUGAGUACCUCCCAAGUUCCAGUCACUAUAGCUAGUCUUCAGGUGGUAUUUAUAAACCUAGGAAAGAUUAUACCUCCAUGGUCCUUUUAAUCUCUCAGAUUCUGGGCUAGCAGUUACUUGGAUAAUGACUAUUUUUUUUUUUUUUUUUUUUUUUUAAGAAAAACUGAAGGAAUUUUUAAAGUCAGUUUAAAUGAAGGUAAUGAUCAUUAGUACUGUUUUCAUUAGUUCUCUUUUACCUAAGUCCUGGUGAUUCCUUUUUUAAAUUAGAGUUCUAACAAAACUUAAAUAGGUUCUUAGUCAUUAUAUUCUAAAUCAUUACCUCAUUAAAUUCUACAAUUUGAAAUCUGCUCAGGCCCCCUUAUUCUUCAAGAAAAGAGACGGAGUCUCAAAGAAGUUAAGUUGCACAUCCAAAGUAGUGUCCCACAGUAAUGAACUAGUCAGGAUCAGAGUCCAGGUCUCUUGACUCUUAUUUUAUUAUGUUAUAGCAUGCCUCCACUCUCAUGCUGUAAAGUCUCUUUUUCUUGUGCUGUCUUCCCAAUUGUUUUAUAUUUACAAGUUGAAAAAGAAAUUCUCAGAGGUCCAUUUGGAGUUUGCCAUAUGAAUAAAAAGAAGUUCAUCUUUAUAUUUAAUCCACAAUAUGGCUAUUGAAGAAUAGAAGCUCAUCUUGAAGGAGAGGAUGAGUCAAGUGUGCAGUAAUACCGUUUUUACAGGUAAAAUUACUCUUAAUUUGUAAAGAACUAAAUUUCACAGUCAAGUACUUUAAAACCAUUUUACAAGUCUGAGGUUUUCUAAUCAUUCUUUUUCUUUUUUCAGGAUGACUAACAUCUGAAGAGUAUGUCAUAGUGUGUAUUGGAUUUUAAUUUUAUUUCAGAGUGUAUUUUCUGUCAAUUUCAUAAUAAAUCUCAGCAAAGUCUGUUUGUUUUUUAUAUCACAGUACUUCCUGUGUGUGCAUUUCUUUCUCCGUUCUUAGAUUGGAAGAAUGUAAAUAGUCUUUCUGGAAAUAACUUAUUUGAUUCCUACAUAAAUUAGUCCAAAUUAAAGUUAAAUUAUUGAAAUAAUUUCUUUGUCAAGUAUUGUCUGAAUAGAAGUAUUAACGAGGUGAUCCUGUUCAUGAAGAUGGUGCUGAAGGUGAAGAAGGAAGCUUCUGACUUUCCCAAAGCUAAAGUCAAAGCAAAGGCUUUGAAGGUCAAGAAAGUGGUAUUGGAAAGUGUUCACAGUCAAAAAAAAAAAAAAAAAAUCUGCACAUCACCUGCAUUCCAGUGGCACAAGACACUGCAUGUCCAAAGGUAGCCCAAACACCCCUGAAAGAGCACCCCCAGGAGAAACAAGUUGGACCACUAUGCCACCAACUUCCUUCUGACUACUGAGUCAGCCAUGAAGAAAAUAGAUGACAACAUACUUGUGUUCAUUGUGGAUGCCAGAACCAACAAACACCAAAUCCAACAGCCUUUGAAAGCUCUGUGACAUUCAUGUGGCCAAGGUCAACACUCUGAUUAGACCCAAUGGAGAGAAGAAGGCAUAUGUUCAGCUGGCUCCUGACUGAUGCUUUGAAUGUUGCCAACAAAGUUAGGAUCACCUGAGUCCAGCUGGCUAAAACUAAAUAGAAAUUUUACACGCACACAAACACAGAAUGGAAAUUUAUGUUCUACCAUUACUUGCUGUAUUAGUUUGCCAGUAGCUGCCAUAACAAAAUACCACAGACAGAGUGAAUGAAAAAACAGAAAUUUAUUUCCUCUAGAAUAGCUCUAAAGGCUAGAAGUCCAAGAUCAAGACGUUAAAAGGUUUGGUUUUUUUCUUGGCUUGCAGAGACCUUUUCAUUGAGUCUCAUAUAAUCUUUCUUCUAUGCAGGUGGAACUGUGAUGUUUGUGUGUUUAAAUUUCCUCUUCCAGUCAGAUGAGAUGAGGGUCUAUCCCUAAUGGCCUUAUUUCAGCUUAAUCACCUCUUCAAAGCCCUGUCUCUAAAUAUCUCACAUUCUGAAGAAUUAAAAGUUAAUGCUUCAACAUACAAAUUUUGGAGGAACAAUUCAGCAUAUAACACUUAGGGUUUUAUUCUGUAGAAAAUGCUGCAGAGUUUAUUAUGAUAUCCUAGACGUUAAAUUUUAUGAAUUUAUGGAAAGCAAAUAGAAAUGGGAAAAUACAGAACACUAACACUAUAGAAGUUCAAUAAUUAGAAGAACUUGCUAUAGCUGAAUCUUUAAAAGACACUUUAAAGAUUACCCUUCAUUUCAGGUAAUAGAUAUGUGUUCCAUAUUUCAAAAGUGAUCAUUUGAUGAAUAGGGCUGUGUUUAAUUUGCCCUUUUUUCCUUUAUUUCACUUGUGAGAAAAUUCAGUUUCUUUCUAUAGAAGUAAAAUGCCAGUGACAGUUUGUGCUUAUUCAUUUACUCAUUCAUCACCAUGCUCAUGGACCAUACAUUAAUUAUUACACACAUACAUAGAUGCAGUAUUUUACAAGGUAAAUUUUAUCUCCAAACUCAUGGAAUUUAUAUUCUAACAUGGGAGAUGGACAUGGAUAAACAUUGAUAUUAUUAGUUCUAAUGACUAAUAAAAUAAUGUGUGAUAAGUGACAAGAAUUUUUACUACUUCAUCUCACUUUGUCCUUGGAUUCCUUGCCAUAUCCUUUGAGCUGAUUUUUAGUCUUGUUACUAUUCUGAUUUUUAAAAUUUAAUAUACAUACACUUCAACAUUUUGCUUGAAAAGAGUGGUAUUGGAUCUCUGAAGAUGGUAAAAAAAACUGAUACUGUCACCUUCUUUUAAUUACUGAACCUCUUUGUUUAAACAAAGAUUUGGUUUUUUGUCAUCUACUGCCAUAAUAAGAAGUCCUUUUACCUGUUAUUGCUGGCAUACUAUUUCCUAUAAAAGUCACAUUCCAAAAAGCAAAAGUUACUCUUCUGUUUUCCUUUCUUUUAAGAAACCUUCCUUGGAAAAAUAAGAUGUGGAACACAGUAGAUAGAAAAAGUAAAGGUAAAUUAUAGAGCAGCUGCUUAAUUUCAAAGAAGCAAUAUGAAUCUACAUACUUUAGAAACUUUACAAAGAUUUGUAGAGUUGCAAAGAACUAAAAAAGUAUCAGCCCUGACAAAAUUGUCAUUUGUGGUACAGAGAUCCAAGCACAGCUCUCAAGAUUUGUUUCUGUCCUUGCUGUUGAAACUACCAUUGCAGACGUGAUUGUUGUGAUCAUGUAUCACUUCAUUAUUUCUACCAAACAAAUGAAGCUCCUUCAAUCAUCUCGACUCCUUCAUUCCAGUUUGUGAGAAGAGAAUAGAGACUCAGGUUUACAACCUGCCAAGACAUUAUCUUUGAUACCAGUUUUUUCAGAUUGAAGAAACUUUAUUGUGAUUCCCCUCAUUUCUGCUGUGGACAAAGGCCUAGGAAAAGAGAACUGGUUUAUAAUCUCUAGUGACAAAAGAUUUCAAGUCAAGGGAGACAUUGAGUACAAGAACCAAGAGUUGAAUACACAGUCAAAGAAGAGAAAAAUAGACAACCUAUCUUCCAAGAACUCAUUCAAAUUGUAUGUCUUCAGUUUGAAAGCCUCAAUGGGAGUUGAGUAACUCCAAAGCAUGAGCAGAAGGUUCUUUAUACAUGCCGUGAAAUCAGCUGACAAGGUAACUGGGUUGGCAAGUGCUUCUGAGACUCCUAAGAAGUAAAAAUUUGUUCACCAAAAAUUGGUGGAUAAAGUCUAUGAUUGCUUCAUUCACAGAAUUACACUAGGGAACAGAGUAUAUGCUAGGAAGAUUAACUAGAGGUUUUCCAGAGUUGGAUCUGCCUCUUUCAGACCUACCAUUGAGGAGGUUGACUAAACAGACCUGAAAAUAAGUAUAUUCCCUAGAAGUCACAAAGUUAAAAGAUAAAAAUAAAUAAAUUUCAACUUUAGACCUUAGGUUUGGGACUUAGCCUUCCACAGAAAACAGCCAUAAAACUAGUCAAAAUAUAUAAGGUCUUCUUUCUAGGUGUUGAGCAGCAGGCAUUUAAGGCUGCCAUCCUUGAGAGAAAGGAAAAAUACCAAGUGAGCCACAUGUCCUCCCCAGUUUCUGCCAUGGGACACUUUCCUGUUGCAGUGUGGGGUGGGUAGAACUCAGGAGCAGCUGCAAUUGCAUCAAGCUAAGCAAGCAGAGAGUAGAGUUCUGGGCUGCUGAAGUGACUAGAAUUUGUGAGAUAGUGUACUUGAGAGGAAAGAACUGCAUACAGCGGGGACUUCCUAGGAGUCUGGGGUUGGGGGACGGUGGUGGUUAGCUCAGGUUUAGCUCCAUUCUAAAGCUAUACCUGAACUGGGCAAGACUCUGAGGCUUAGCAGCAAUCUGCUAAGAGUCUCAGAGCUGGCAAGGAUACCAGCAGUCAUUUAGUGCCAGAAAUUGUUGCCAUUAGACCUUACUCAACACCUUGGUCAUUCUUGAUAUCCCAGAAAGGCCACUGUGCAAGAGUAGGGAUCACUACUUAGCAUAAAAGCUAUAUCCUGGAACUAAAUUUAAACUGAAAUAGACCUAUACUAAUAAAGAAUAAAAACAAACCAAGAAUCCACCAGUAAUUUAACGGCAAGGUGCAGAGCAAAGCUCAACACCUACUAACACCUACACAGACUCCCUUCAACACAAUAUCCACUCUGUCCAGUAUCCAAUCAAAAGUUCCUAGGCAUGUGAAGUAUUCAAAAUCAAAGGUAGAAAAAUAUAACCCAUAAUUGAGAAUAAAAAAAUUAGCAGAAACUGACUUAAAGAUGGCCUAGAUGCUGUAAUUAGCUAAAGAUUUUUAAAACAGCUGCUGUAAUAUGUUUUAAUACUGAAAAGAAAAAAAUGGUCAUAAUGAGUGAACAGACAAUUAGAGAAUAGCAGCAGCAGAGAAAAUAGCAACUUUAUAAUGAAUAGAAUGAAAAUCCUAGUAUUAUAGAACAAUAAAAUUCAUUUAUUCUAUAAUGAAUAAAAUGAAAAUUCUCUAUCACUGGAUAGAGACUACAGAAGAAAGGGCUGUGGAACUUGAUAGCAGAUAAAUACAAGUACAGUGUGGAAUGCUGAGGAUGUAAAUCCUUCCCCACCUCCUCCUUCUAUUCUUCCCCUCGACAUAAGUAUCCAUAAAAAAUAGACAAGUUACAUUCAAAAGUAGGCAAUAAUCAGUCUGGCUUUACAUUUCUCAGCUACAAACAAUGCUAUAAGAAAAUGGAACAACUUGAGUUUAAAAAACGGGAAUAUAGUUGUGAGUUGGGACUUACACGUAUUACCAAUUUCUCUCAUCCAUGUUUGUCUUUGUUUAUGUUUUCAGCUAAACAGAAGUUUGUGAAAUAUGUUCAUAUGCCUUUUAAACUUAAAAGCUACUUCUUGAAGACAUACUUUAGAAGACCUUGGGGUUUGAGGAAAGUUGUACUAGAAAUGAUUGUUUCCUAUGGAACUCCCUCCUAAGGAAAUAAUCAAAAUAUAUGAAAAUAUUUGUAUACAUUUUUAUUGCCUUAUUUAUUGGGGAAAAACCUUAUUGUUUAAUAAGUGUUCAUAAAAAUAAUAUGAAGCCAUUGAAAUAUACUAACAACUGAGGAAAGAAAAUGCUUUUAGUAGUAGAAAAAAAGCACGAUACAGAUUUAUAUUUUAAAUAAAAAUGGAUAUUAAAAAGUAGCAGGAAAUAUGUAGACAUUUUGCCUCUUGACUAUGGGCAUUUGUAGUGGCCAUAUUUUCUGUUUCUAUGUUUUCCAAAUUUUCUAUAAAGAACACAAUCCAAAAAGCUUAAGGAUAAAUUGCAUAUAUGAGGGGACAGAAGAUGUUAAUCUAUUAAUGCCUGUGAAACUAUUGUUGUAGACUGUGAUUUUCAUCUAAAAAUUCUGAUUUUAGAAAGAAUGUAAGCUUUGAAGUAUUUUGGGAAGAAGAUAAAGAAUAUUGUCCCAGUGAAGGAUGCCUUACACAGGAGUUUAUACCAUGUCAUUUCAUGCAUAUGAAGUUCUAGAAUAGGCAAAACUGAUAGAUGGUAAAAAACAAAA